AGGCUCAUGCGGCGGCUACACAUGCAAGUCGAGCGGUAACAGAUCCAGCUUGCUGGAUGCUGACGAGCGGCGGACGGGUGAGUAAUGCAUAGGAAUCUGCCCGAUAGUGGGGGAUAACCUGGGGAAACCCAGGCUAAUACCGCAUACGUCCUACGGGAGAAAGGGGGCUUCGGCUCCCGCUAUCGGAUGAGCCUAUGUCGGAUUAGCUAGUUGGUGAGGUAACGGCUCACCAAGGCCACGAUCCGUAGCUGGUCUGAGAGGAUGAUCAGCCACAUCGGGACUGAGACACGGCCCGAACUCCUACGGGAGGCAGCAGUGGGGAAUAUUGGACAAUGGGGGGAACCCUGAUCCAGCCAUGCCGCGUGUGUGAAGAAGGCCCUCGGGUUGUAAAGCACUUUCAGCGAGGAAGAACGCCUAGCGGUUAAUACCCGCUAGGAAAGACAUCACUCGCAGAAGAAGCACCGGCUAACUCCGUGCCAGCAGCCGCGGUAAUACGGAGGGUGCAAGCGUUAAUCGGAAUUACUGGGCGUAAAGCGCGCGUAGGUGGCUUGAUAAGCCGGUUGUGAAAGCCCCGGGCUCAACCUGGGAACGGCAUCCGGAACUGUCAAGCUAGAGUGCAGGAGAGGAAGGUAGAAUUCCCGGUGUAGCGGUGAAAUGCGUAGAGAUCGGGAGGAAUACCAGUGGCGAAGGCGGCCUUCUGGACUGACACUGACACUGAGGUGCGAAAGCGUGGGUAGCAAACAGGAUUAGAUAUCUUUGUAGUC
RNAcentral lists this ribosomal RNA (764 nucleotides) under Vreelandella aquamarina. RNAcentral describes it as "bacterial SSU rRNA". It matches the Rfam family "Bacterial small subunit ribosomal RNA", at positions 33 to 795 of the family's 1533-position model. Lineage: Bacteria; Pseudomonadati; Pseudomonadota; Gammaproteobacteria; Oceanospirillales; Halomonadaceae. The record is from RNAcentral.